This 253-nucleotide ribosomal RNA is filed under the name uncultured bacterium. RNAcentral's name for it is "partial 16S ribosomal RNA". It matches the Rfam family "Bacterial small subunit ribosomal RNA", at positions 524 to 776 of the family's 1533-position model. The record is from RNAcentral.
UACAGAGGUCUCAAGCGUUGUUCGGAUUCAUUGGGCGUAAAGGGUGCGUAGGCGGCGCGGUAAGUCGGGUGUGAAAUCUCGGAGCUUAACUCCGAAACUGCAUUCGAUACUGCCGUGCUUGAGGACUGGAGAGGAGACUGGAAUUUACGGUGUAGCGGUGAAAUGCGUAGAUAUCGUAAGGAAGACCAGUGGCGAAGGCGGGUCUCUGGACAGUUCCUGACGCUGAGGCACGAGGGUCAGGGGAGCAAACGGG